GAUAGUGGUAUAGGCAAUCUCUCAAGUAUCCUGUAUAUCUCUCCCAAGCUUGGGGAAGGGUUCCAAUAUCUUUUUGAACAAAUCAAGACAUCUUUUUUCUAAGAAC
Capsicum annuum is the source of this 106-nucleotide non-coding RNA. Lineage: Eukaryota; Viridiplantae; Streptophyta; Magnoliopsida; Solanales; Solanaceae. The record is from Rfam.